GUGGCUGUAGCUCAGUUGGUAGAGCACAGGAUUGUGACUCCUGAGGUCGCGGGUUCAAACCCCGUCAGCCACCCCA
This 76-nucleotide transfer RNA is filed under the name Cellvibrionales bacterium. RNAcentral's name for it is "tRNA-His". It matches the Rfam family "tRNA". From Rfam's summary of the family: Transfer RNA (tRNA) molecules are approximately 80 nucleotides in length. Their secondary structure includes four short double-helical elements and three loops (D, anti-codon, and T loops). The record is from RNAcentral. Lineage: Bacteria; Pseudomonadati; Pseudomonadota; Gammaproteobacteria; Cellvibrionales.